GCCCUGGUGGUGUAGUAGUUAGCACGCCCGUCUGGCAAGCGGGAGAUAUCAGGCUCCAUUUCUGACCGGGACA
This 73-nucleotide transfer RNA is filed under the name Oryctes borbonicus. It matches the Rfam family "tRNA". Rfam says of the family: Transfer RNA (tRNA) molecules are approximately 80 nucleotides in length. Their secondary structure includes four short double-helical elements and three loops (D, anti-codon, and T loops). Lineage: Eukaryota; Metazoa; Arthropoda; Insecta; Coleoptera; Scarabaeidae. The record is from Rfam by way of RNAcentral.